Molecule: non-coding RNA, 363 nt
Organism: Malus domestica (apple)
Lineage: Eukaryota; Viridiplantae; Streptophyta; Magnoliopsida; Rosales; Rosaceae
Source: RefSeq, a predicted model, not a curated record
CACGGAGCAAAGCUCCGACGAGUUUUCUUCCUUUUUCAGUAGGGGUAAGUCUCUAAUCUCUCACUCUCGUACCUAGCUAAAUGUUUGGUCGUGAUUUAUAAGCGUGAACCUUCCAUUUUUACGUAGGUUUUACCUUGGAAACGUUUUGGGUGAGCACACCCAUUUUUCCGGCGAACCCGUGCAUUCCGAGGGCUAUUCCGGUCACCUCCGACCGAGUUACGGUGUUUGGAAGGUAAAGUUGCUAUUAAGGAAAUUCGUAAUCCUGAUUCGCGCGAUUCUUCUGCUAAGGAAUAUUUGACUUAGAAUCAAGGCACCUAAUCCCGGCGUCAAGACACUUCCGCAGCAGCAUCUUCGGAUCUUCUC